This 1492-nucleotide long non-coding RNA is filed under the name Cricetulus griseus (Chinese hamster). RNAcentral's name for it is "lncRNA (ENSCGRG00015042131.1)". The record is from RNAcentral. Lineage: Eukaryota; Metazoa; Chordata; Mammalia; Rodentia; Cricetidae.
CUCAGUCAUUAGUUCACUGUCCUUCCUUAAUUAAAAUACUGGCUACACCCUAUGCACCAGGCCCUGUGCUGAGUCCCCAGAUACAGUCCCUGCUCUCCAGGAAGGGACAGUAGUCAGGACAGAAAUAGGAAAGAUUAGCAAUCAAGAAUACACAGUGAUCAAAGCCAAAGACAACACUGAUGGUGUCAGGUAGCAUUGGUUGUGGAUUUGGGGGAGAAUAGGGUUGUGUGUUAGGUGGGGAGUGUGGGGCGGGGGAAAAGCAUUCCUCGUGGAUUAGCCCACCCCAAAGGUCUUUUCUCAGAACCUUUCGCCCUUGGCUACUCUCCUAUACUGAAGUCAGCGAGCCUGUGCCUCCCUUGUCCAGAGUCACAGGCUGGAACACCAAGGUGGGGGAGGUGUGAUGACUGUGAGGACACCCUGUCCCUAACCUUUGCUUUCAAACUCUUAAUUCCCAUACUCUGUAUUCCCGUAUAAAGCAAAGUUGUUAUGUCCACAUCACAGACAGUGUAACAGGCUCAAUGAGUGGAAGAAAUGCCCAAACCUAUCUCCCAGGUUCUGAGGGCCAUCUCCUUCUGAAGCUGUUGAUAAAACAGGGUGCUUCUAAGAGAGCCUCUGCCUUUAGCUUCUCAGGUGUCCUCAAACCCUCCACCUUCAGGAAGCUGUGUCCAGACCUGCUCUGCACUGUGUUAUUUAUUUGUUCACCCCAAACUCUGAUGGGGGAAAGGUCCAUUAGCUGGGUGGCCUUCACUCUGUGAGCCUGGGGUACUUAUAGAGGUCACUAUUGCUAUAAAAGGAAUUGAGGAAUUUCACUCAGAUAAAACGCGGCGGCAGGGUGGGAGGCUGUUGUUCACUGGCCUUUUAAAGGCCACUUUCAGAGCCUCCAGCAAGUGGCUGUGUUGCGGUCACAGAUGCUCAUCUGCAACCACAGAGCCCCCUACUGUUCCGGUGUAGUGCAGGAGGUGCCCACAUGGGAUUUGUGGGUUGGACAACCUCUCCGUCCCUGUGAAGUUGUGCCUUGGAAAAUGUUGCCCCCUUCAUGAUGACAUAGAAACAAACCACACAGAAAAGAACUGGGAUCAAAGAAUUUCUCGGAGAUCCAGAGUUCCAAAUUAGUGUGUUAAACAACUGAACUUAAAAUAUGGACGUGUAGACAGAUAUUCAUGCCACACCAAAGAAAACAGCUUGCACAUACAGAGCCUCAGAAAGUGGAGACUGUUGCCUCAGGCACUCAUCUGCUAAAAAAGUGGGGACUGCUGCCCAGGUCAGAAUGGCUUCAAACUGUAUGCCUCGAACGUGAGAAAAGACAGCUCUACUGGGGGCCAGGGCACUGGAGCUUACAGGAAUGAGUGGCAGGUCAGAAGUAUCUCUACUGGACCCAGGAGACGGCACAGUGGGAUACCAUCAGGCUUUGGCCACAGUCUCCAAUUCAGCUACUCUUGAACACAGUCACCUGCCCCACCCAGCACACAGCCACCUGCCCCACCUAGCACAG